Long non-coding RNA from Perca fluviatilis (European perch), 1540 nucleotides. RefSeq lists it as uncharacterized. The transcript is spliced from 4 exons. The record is from RefSeq and is a predicted model, not a curated record. NCBI's taxonomy places the organism in Eukaryota, Metazoa, Chordata, Actinopteri, Perciformes, Percidae.
UCCGAUUCUCCAUGGAUUCAUCCCAUGAGAUGUACAGUUUAGCUAACAUAAAAGUGACAUUGGGGCUUAUUAUAAACAGGCGAGCGACAUAAAAAUGUCUAAAUAUGUCUAAAGUGGUUUGAGGCAAGGCCUAACCCGGACAAAACCCAACAGCGUUCGCUGCAGUGCAGUGCGCAUUAUGUGCGUAGGACGACAAUGGUGCACUAUCAGAAUGAAGGAGAUGCAAAGAGAGCCCUAGCCAAGCAGGGAGAGAAGGCAGUACAGAGUUUCAGACGGAGAAAGAGAACGCACACUUACCUACUGUAGAGCAAAAAGAGAGAAGUCAUAAGAUUCCAGAGGUUGAAACUGGCAGGGAGAUUUUAAGCAAAUGGCAUCUGGUUAAAGGUCAGAUUCGGGGGCCCCAGUGGGUGAAAGGUUGAAUAACUCCAAGUAAGGUAGUGACCAUGUCUUCUGGGAGAUGUUUUGGAGCUCGUUUUAGGCAACAACUUAUCAUAGGACCAAUCUAAUCCUUUAAAACCUUAAAUAAAAAACAUUUUGUAUUAUUGAUCAUUUGAGUGUUUAGAGAAACUUCUUGUAGUUAAAUAUUUUUUGUUGUAAACUUUAGAAAACAAACAAAUGAGUUAAAGAUGUUACUGUCAAGAUUUUAGUGUUUAAUCAGUUUACAGCUAGUUCAGUUCAGAUGUAUUGGAUUUCUUCACUUUGAUUGAUUGUUUUUACCCAGCCUUUAAAAAUAAGUGAAGAAAAAGGUUUGUUGGAGGGAUCACAGUUUUGAGUUCAAACUGCAGGUGUGUAAAUUGGAACAUGCACGUUUCUUCUAAAUUGGGCAUUGAGGGCUCGGAGAGAGCGGUGGGGGAAAUUAGUGGAAUAACUGGUUGAUUCUAACCAGAUGAUUGCUUCAGUUGGACACCAGAGAGUUUUCAUUAGGUCUCUAAUUUACAAGCCUCCCUCUGCAUUCCAGCCGGUGGACCCUCUGCCCCAGGUCUUAAAGAUCUCCUUUAGCCUUUGCCCCUUGCAAAAGUUGUUGCCAAAGCCAUGCACUUUGCAAUGUACAAAUUACUUUAUGUUAAACUUCAAGUGUUAGAGGAAUUGAUAUUUAAACAUUAUCACUUUUCAACUGUAUUAUUCAUCAUAAUAUGUAUAUGUUAAUAUAAUAAGGUCGGUCAGGUGUCGGUAAGAAAGCAGCUAUAGUACAUCCUUAACAUCAGUCAACUUUGUAUGUGUUUAUUAUAUAUAUUAUAAAGCCAUUAAAACCCCUGCUGAAAGAGUUUACUGCAGAGGUUGCCGUGAAAAACUUUUACACUUUUGAUCUUUUGUUACUCAGAAAUAUAUUCAGGGAACUGGAACAAACACUUUUGAUUUAAUCAUUUACCAUAUCUCAAACACCAAUUGUCAGCGCAACACAAACGUGACCACAAAUAUGUCAAAGCAUGUUUUAGGUGGAUGCUCUUUUGGAUUGCUGAUACAAAGGAGUGCACAAUGAUGACAAUGAGCUGUAAAGAUUUGACAAAUCUAAGUAACAGCAAACGCGUUCAUGCUUCAU